This 253-nucleotide ribosomal RNA is filed under the name uncultured bacterium. RNAcentral describes it as "partial 16S ribosomal RNA". It matches the Rfam family "Bacterial small subunit ribosomal RNA", at positions 524 to 776 of the family's 1533-position model. The record is from RNAcentral.
UACGUAGGUGGCAAGCGUUGUCCGGAAUUAUUGGGCGUAAAGCGCGCGCAGGCGGUCCUUUAAGUCUGAUGUGAAAGCCCACGGCUCAACCGUGGAGGGUCAUUGGAAACUGGGGGACUUGAGUGCAGAAGAGAAGAGUGGAAUUCCACGUGUAGCGGUGAAAUGCGUAGAGAUGUGGAGGAACACCAGUGGCGAAGGCGACUCUGUGGUCUGUAACUGACGCUGAGGCGCGAAAGCGUGGGGAGCAAACAGG